UGGGGAAUCUUAGACAAUGGGGGAAACCCUGAUCUAGCCAUGCCGCGUGAGUGACGAAGGCCUUAGGGUCGUAAAGCUCUUUCGCCAGGGAUGAUAAUGACAGUACCUGGUAAAGAAACCCCGGCUAACUCCGUGCCAGCAGCCGCGGUAAUACGGAGGGGGUUAGCGUUGUUCGGAAUUACUGGGCGUAAAGCGCGCGUAGGCGGAUUAGUCAGUCAGAGGUGAAAUCCCAGGGCUCAACCCUGGAACUGCCUUUGAUACUGCUAGUCUUGAGUUCGAGAGAGGUGAGUGGAAUUCCGAGUGUAGAGGUGAAAUUCGUAGAUAUUCGGAGGAACACCAGUGGCGAAGGCGACCACCUGGACGGGUACUGACGCUGAGACGCGAAAGCGUGGGGAGCAAACAGGAUUAGAUACCCCCGUAGUCC
RNAcentral lists this ribosomal RNA (424 nucleotides) under uncultured prokaryote. RNAcentral's name for it is "bacterial SSU rRNA". It matches the Rfam family "Bacterial small subunit ribosomal RNA", at positions 355 to 796 of the family's 1533-position model. The record is from RNAcentral.